RNAcentral lists this long non-coding RNA (386 nucleotides) under Manihot esculenta (cassava). Its description in RNAcentral is "long non-coding RNA (MESC_LNC002554)". Lineage: Eukaryota; Viridiplantae; Streptophyta; Magnoliopsida; Malpighiales; Euphorbiaceae. The record is from RNAcentral.
GGAAACUGAGAGCAGUCAAAAGCCUCAAUCUCACUUAUUCCACUGACACCAUCAAGAAGAUUAUUAUAGAAUGUAUCUGCAUCUUGACGUAUUGAGGUUACCACGCUCAUCCCCGUCACAACCACCUCCCGAUUCUUUUUCAGAGGUUUCUUCUUCAAUAUAAUUUCCCUCCCGAUUCUUUUUCAGAGGUUUCUUCUUCAAUAUAAUUUCCUUUUCAGGUUGCACAGCCACGGCCACACCCCCUAGACGCACAAUAGAAGUAGUUACUUAAUAAAUGUUAUAAAGAUGCACUUAUACAAAAAUGGGUGAGGCUAAGGAAGCCCAAUAUAUUGAUUACGCAUGAAAAUGAAUAUAUUUAAUAAAUAUUUUCUUCAUGCAUAAUCAAU